UAACACUUUUGUGGAAAUGUAUAAUUGUGCAUAUAGCUAUUCAUCUCCUGUAUACACGAUUAUGCAUUCCAUAAAGUUGACA
Molecule: non-coding RNA, 82 nt
Organism: Saccoglossus kowalevskii
Lineage: Eukaryota; Metazoa; Hemichordata; Enteropneusta; Harrimaniidae
Source: RefSeq, marked provisional